UGUACUAGCAGACAACAUGAACGUGCUCGGGAAAUGAUGAACUUAAUACCAUUUUGUUUCCUGUGACACGUGACAAAUGCGCUAAUUAGAGUCACUAUUAGUAAUUUAUAACCAAAAUAAAAUUGUCAAAUUUGUAUAGCAGAUUCAGUGAAAAAAUGAAAAGAAAAGUAAGGAGAGGAGAAAAGGAUGUAGGAUAGGAUGGUGUGUUUCUUGCCCACCUCCUCCAUAGGAAAAAUAAGAGAGAAAACAAAGAGUGCAAGUUUAUGUUAACUAAUAUGUAUUUUGUUUCAAACACAUUAUAUGCAUGAUAUCCAGAAUAUGAAAGUUUCACUAGAUGGGGUUUCUUAAUUUCAUUCACAAUCUUCAUUUCUUCCCUAGUAAGAAAAGGAAUAAGAAAGUGGGAUGAUAUUGGCACAAUUUUUGGUACAUUUUUAUCUCCUCCUGACGAGAAAGUGAAUUCCUUUCUCGGCUGCACGGUUUUUCCAUCCAAACAAACUGAAGUUCCUUUCUUUCCCACCCAGGUCGGUGGAAAUAACACUAGAUGAUUAUUUUUAGUGGAAUUUCAUUUCUUUCCUCAAGUAUAUACAUAGAAAUUGACAGAGACGUUAUUACAUAGCUGAAGCUGGGGAAAGGAAAAUGUUCCCCGGAGCACUUUUAAUGUGAAGAAAGUUCCAAGGGUACAUUGCAAAUGAGGUUCCUAGAGAAAUAAAUAAUCUAUAUAUCUUUAGAUUCCAAUAACUUUUGUGCCUCUACCUCAGGUAAAGAAAACAAACAAACAUCACAAAAUAAUAAAAGAUUCUUGGGUACUUGUACUAUGACGCCUAAUUCUUUUGUAUAAACAACAUCAACAUUAGCAAGUAGACAAAUGCUGUCAUGUCUUAGUCGCAAUCAAAUGCUUAAGUUUAUAGUUUCGUAGGAACAUAUGUAAUUACUUUCAAUAACCUUUUUUCUAGAGUACCAUGUAAGCUGCUAAUCAAUGAUCACAAAUCACUAGCAAAAUUAUUAAAAUGCCCUCCAACUAUCUUAAUCAAAACAGAGAAUUUAUCAUCGGAAUUUCAAAUAGUACCCCGAGAAUUUAUAAUCUUAGACCGUCAUAAUGUGUAUGGUUUAAUUUGAGAGAUAUUUUUAUAUAAGAACUGCACUGAUUGAUCAAUGGAAUCAAUAAUGUAUAGUUUUUAUAUAUGGUCACUGAUAAAGACCAAGUAAAAUUCCUGAUUAGUGGCGCCACAUGCAAGGGUGAGAUGCCAUAUGCUUGCACCUUUCACUAGGCAAGGUUAAAGAGCUAAAGCCACUCUACAUUGCAUGAUGUUGAUUUAUAAAUUAUAAUAGCAAUUGGUAUACAUCUUAUUGAUUACUUGAAAGGUAAAGAGAAACACUCGGUUUGGACGCGUUACAAUUAGACUAUGCAAGAAAUGAAAAAGGUUAGAAUUAAAAAUGAGGAGGAGGAGAACAAGAAAUGUAAUUCAUCCUUUAAGAAUAUAACAUCUUAGACUUGGUACUCAAAAGAGAAGUAAAGUAAAUGGGUUUUGAUCUUUUAUUGAUUUAUUUUGUGGCAGGGCAUCAUAUCUUUUUCAAGCAUCUCUAAUAUUUUAAGCCUGAGCUUCUAAAUCAUUUCAUCUUGUGAUCCAAAAUUUGAUAAAAAGAAUAUAUUUUCUCCCACUAAUAUAAGGACGAAAUUGCUAAUUUAUCUUCUUUACUACACAUAACUUUACAUAGUGUGUAUAAUUAAUGCAGAAUCCCAGCCAUAGAGAAGCAUUCACUUUUUUCAUUAGCUGCGUAAUCAAUGAUCUUAAGUUCCUUAAUAUUAGAAUAGUAAAAGAAAGAAAGGGGCACCAAAAUAGAAUAAAUUGAUCACUAUCCUUUUUCGGGUAAUUGGAAUUUUUAUGAGGGGGGGUGAUAUACUUCCACUAUUGCCUUAAUUGUUAGAAGUAAAUUCUUAAUUCUAUCCCAAAAAAGAUUGAUUUUUUUGUUAUUACUCAUUUUUAUGAUAUUCCAAAAAGAGAACAUGUCUUGCCUCUUCAUUGUUUGUAGCAAUCAACUAGAGAGACAUGUAAGGUAGCAUGAAUAAAUAUCAUUUUGGAUGCUUGCUAACCACUGUCAGUCAUCUUCUAUCACUAUAUGCUUGAGAAGAAAGUAAUGAAGAAGUAGGUGAAUUUAGGUAUUGUGGCGGUCAUCUAACGGACCCAUCAUAUCAUAUAUUAAUUAGGAGGAGAAAUCCCUUCUUCACUUUUUCAAUAUAAUAGAAGAAAAAACGUAUUUAUUAAGGACAUUCUUUUUUGAGAUUGUUAGAACAUGUGGCCAGCCAUGCAUAUUAUUGAAUGGUUCACAUGACUUGAGGAAAAGCUGCCCUGUUCUAGGUUUAUUUAGAAAUAUUUAAUCAAUUCUGGAUUGAAAUUAUAAAGUACUACUGAUUAUGUUAGGCAGGGGUAAAUUAUAACUUUGUUGCCUCCUCCUGAGAUUAGAAUACUAAUAAUAUAAAGAAAAAGGCUUAUAUUAAGAAUAUUGUCUUACUUGGUGAACAUUGAUGGACGGUGAAGAAUGCUUGACUAAAAUGAAGUUGUACUCAAUAAGCUUUUUUUUAAGAGAUACCCAGACAGAGAGAGAGAGAGAUCUUAUCAAAACUGAAGGAGAUUGAUUUUAUGCCUGUUGUUCCAUAGUUAUUGGUCAGGAGUGGAAAAUUUUGAAAUGCUCCAUAAGUUUAGCAAAAAUUGAAAUAUUGGCCUUUUUUCUUACUAAUCUUUCCUUAAUCCCUUGGAAUAUAGUCUCGGAGAAAACAAAUAACUAAAACUCGUCCCCGCCUACAAAUUUCAUAGAAAGGCAGUCUUAUAACUUUAAGAAGAGCAAAACCAGGAGGGAAAAAAAUGUUAGUACACAAGGACAUGUGAGUUCAGAUCAAGACCUAAAAACAAAAGGACGACUUUGAAGCUCAGAAAUUAACAAUACAAGCCACCUAGUAAAUGGCAACUAAGUUUUUGUCUCUUCAUGUUAUGAAAGGCUUCUAGCUUCCCAGAGAUUUUAGAGGACUACAGAAUAUAUAUAAAUAUAUCAAUAAAUAUACACACACACACACACACACACACACACACAUAUAUAUAUAUAUAUAUAUAUAUAUAUGUUUCUUUCUCCAGAAUAUAUAAAAUGUUUGUAUGAAAUUAGACCAUAAUGGAAGUAGAUAUCUUUCGUUCUCACUGGAUACUGUAUCUAGUAAUUUGUCCCACCUCUGAGUUAAGUUUCAGGGAAUCCCUAAAGUGACAUUGCUUUCACAAAUCAUACCCUCAUGGACUCAGAUACUCCCUUUUUGCUCCGAGUGAGAACUUUUCCUCUUCAGUUAUAUGUUAUAAGUUGGAUGUAAGUCAUCAUCCUCCAAGUCUAGAGUACAUCAUGGUGAACAUCUAGAGAAAAAAUUUCAAUCAUUUUUAAAUGGUGCUCUGCAAAAUGUAGUUUCAAAACAUUCUUAUACGUGAUAAACAUUUGUGCAAGUAGACAUAAGAAAAGAACACAACUUCAAUGCAGAAAAGAAGUUAUGGGGAGUGUCAGAGCCCAGAGGCAACUUACAAAGGUGAAAGGUGAUCUUAUCUUGUUUGAUAGCUUACAUCUUUUUGGUUGGACUUCCAUUAUUGCUACAGAAUCUGGCACUUCCUAUCCAAGCAAAGAUCCCUUACUUCCAUGAAUGGAUCUUUGGAAUCACAAUGGACUUUGAAACAUAUUAAUCCCCUGUAAGUCUACUUAGUUCAGAACCAAAUAAGGUGACAGCAAGCACAAAUUACAUUUUCAUGCAUAUAAAGACAUAAUAAAUCUACUAGUUGGGNNNNNNNNNNNNNNNNNNNNNNNNNNNNNNNNNNNNNNNNNNNNNNNNNNNNNNNNNNNNNNNNNNNNNNNNNNNNNNNNNNNNNNNNNNNNNNNNNNNNCCACAAGAGCAAUCCCCACUCCUGAAAUGCUGGAAUAGUAUAUAACAUCCCUAAUUAUAGCUCUCUAUAGUCUAUAGUAACAGUUCUGUAUUAGUUCUAAGAAAAGUGGCGGCCUCACAGAAAGCAAGUUUAUCACUAUUGUAAAGAUGGUCCAUGGACUUGAAUUAACUAGUCUAAAUGAAAGUACAAGUUUCUCACUUUGGUGAAGUAGAUGAAUACUUUCUUCUUACAUUUAAUCCAAAAACAUCUCUGAAAGCUUAGGGCAAUACCCUUCAUCUGUUAACCUCUCAUAUAGCUCCUUUAAUUUUUAACAUAUUGUUUUCUGCUUGAUGAUGACCUGAAACUCCAGCUCUAAAGUGAUCAUGUACUUUAGACAUUAGUAAGACUAUAUAUUAUGUAUAUUUACCUUAAAUCUUGUGGUAAGUUGUGACGUAGUUAUCACAUUUACAAUUAUAUAAAGUUUUUGCAUGAAAUAAUACCAUAAAGGAAGUAGAUACCUUUCUUUGUCACUAUAUAUUUUAUUAUGUACCACCUCUUAGUAAAACACGUUAAGUUUAGCAAAUCCCUCAAACUGACAUAAUGCUUUAAAAAAUAAAACCUUUAUGGACUUAGGUAUUCCCUUUCUUGUCACCGAGUGUGUGCAACUUUUCCCCGUCCAGUUAUUGUUAUAAGGUGGAAAUAAUUGACCCGUCAUAGCCCACUAAACCUAGAAUCUAUAUAAAUUUUUCUACUGUAUUCAACAGGUGAUAGACACUGCAAAAUGACAUGGAGUUUAGCAUUUGCCUGGAUAUUGGUUAAACAACUUCCACUUAUAUAGUUAUGUGAUAACUAUGUGUGCAAGUAGACAUAUUAGGAAGAAAAGAACAAAGUUCAAUGCAUUAAAGUUGUAUGGAGUCAAAGGCAACUUACAAAGGUGAUCUCAUUCUGUUUGAUCCAGCACCUUUUUCCACGGGUUUCCAAUAUUUUUGCUACAGAAUCAGGCACUUCCUAGUU
RNAcentral lists this long non-coding RNA (4901 nucleotides) under Panax ginseng (ginseng). RNAcentral describes it as "long non-coding RNA (PGIN_LNC010151)". Lineage: Eukaryota; Viridiplantae; Streptophyta; Magnoliopsida; Apiales; Araliaceae. The record is from RNAcentral.